Molecule: ribosomal RNA, 1038 nt
Filed under: human gut metagenome
Description: bacterial SSU rRNA
Rfam family: Bacterial small subunit ribosomal RNA
Source: RNAcentral
AGAGUUUGAUCCUGGCUCAGGAUGAACGCUGGCGGCGUGCUUAACACAUGCAAGUCGAACGAUUAACCCGCCCUCGGGCGGUUAUAGAGUGGCGAACGGGUGAGUAACACGUGACCAACCUGCCCCUUGCUCCGGGAUAACCCAGGGAAACCUCGGCUAAUACCGGAUACUCCGCGCGUGCCGCAUGGCCCGCGCGGGAAAGCCCAGACGGCAAGGGAUGGGGUCGCGGCCCAUUAGGUAGACGGCGGGGUAACGGCCCACCGUGCCCGCGAUGGGUAGCCGGGUUGAGAGACCGAUCGGCCACAUUGGGACUGAGAUACGGCCCAGACUCCUACGGGAGGCAGCAGUGGGGAAUUUUGCGCAAUGGGGGAAACCCUGACGCAGCAACGCCGCGUGCGGGACGAAGGCCUUCGGGUUGUAAACCGCUUUCAGCAGGGAAUAUCGUGAAGGUACCUGCAGAAGAAGCUCCGGCUAACUACGUGCCAGCAGCCGCGGUAAUACGUAGGGAGCGAGCGUUAUCCGGAUUCAUUGGGCGUAAAGCGCGCGUAGGCGGCCCGUCAAGCGGGGUUUCAAAUCCAGGGGCUCAACCUCUGGCCGGACCCCGAACUGGCGGGCUCGAGUGCGGUAGAGGAAGGUGGAAUUCCCAGUGUAGCGGUGAAAUGCGCAGAUAUUGGGAAGAACACCGAUGGCGAAGGCAGCCUUCUGGGCCGCCACUGACGCUGAGGCGCGAAAGCUAGGGGAGCGAACAGGAUUAGAUACCCUGGUAGUCCUAGCCGUAAACGAUGGGCACUAGGUGUGGGGGAGCAUCUCCUCCGUGCCGCAGCCAACGCAUUAAGUGCCCCGCCUGGGGAGUACGGCCGCAAGGCUAAAACUCAAAGGAAUUGACGGGGGCCCGCACAAGCAGCGGAGCAUGUGGCUUAAUUCGAAGCAACGCGAAGAACCUUACCAGGGCUUGACAUGCAGGUGAAGCGGCGGAAACGCCGUGGCCGAGAGGAGCCUGCGCAGGUGGUGCAUGGCUGUCGUCAGCUCGUGUCGUGA